UACGUAGGGGGCAAGCGUUGUCCGGAUUUAUUGGGCGUAAAGAGCUCGUAGGCGGCUUGGCAAGUCGGGUGUGAAAACUCCAGGCUCAACCUGGAGAUGCCACUCGAGACUGCUAUGGCUAGAGUCCGGUAGGGGACCACGGAAUUCCUGGUGUAGCGGUGAAAUGCACAGAUAUCAGGAGGAACACCGGUGGCGAAGGCGGUGGUCUGGGCCGGCACUGACGCUGAGGAGCGAAAGCAUGGGGAGCGAACAGG
Molecule: ribosomal RNA, 254 nt
Filed under: uncultured bacterium
Lineage: Bacteria
Description: partial 16S ribosomal RNA
Rfam family: Bacterial small subunit ribosomal RNA
Source: RNAcentral